GCCGCUGUACUUGCAAUGAGGCACGGUCGGCUUAUUGUUUACGCUGGAGCAAUGGGUGCCUUAACGGUCAUGCACGUACUCUCAUCGAUGAUGGGCUUUGCAUUACCGUCUCUAAUACCUCGAUCAUACACACAUAUGGCAAGCA
Molecule: ribosomal RNA, 145 nt
Filed under: uncultured Dinobryon
Lineage: Eukaryota; Chrysophyceae; Chromulinales
Description: 5.8S ribosomal RNA
Source: RNAcentral